CGCGUAGGCGGCCAGGCAAGUCAGUAGUGGAAGUCCAGCUUUCAAGGUUGGAAGUGCUAUUGAAACUGCAGGGCUUGAGUGCAGGAGAGGUUAUCGGAAUUCCCGGUGUAGCGGUGAAAUGCGUAGAGAUCGGGAGGAACACCAGUGGCGAAGGCGGGUAACUGGACUGCAACUGACGCUGAGGCGCGAAAGUGUGGGGGGCAAACAG
This 208-nucleotide ribosomal RNA is filed under the name uncultured bacterium. RNAcentral's name for it is "partial 16S ribosomal RNA". It matches the Rfam family "Bacterial small subunit ribosomal RNA", at positions 568 to 775 of the family's 1533-position model. The record is from RNAcentral.